UGGUUAAAAAGCUCGUAGUUGGAUCUCAACAGCCUUGAAGCGGUUAACUUUGUAGUUUUACUGCUUUAUAGGCUGUGCUUUUGCUGGAGGUUUAGGGGUGCUCUUGAUCGAGUGUCUCUGGAUGCCAGCAGGUUUACUUUGAAAAAAUUAGAGUGCUCAAAGCAGGCUAAAAUGCCUGAAUAUUCGUGCAUGGAAUAAUAGAAUAGGAUGUCGAUCCUAUUUUGUUGGUUUUCGGGACUCGACAUAAUGAUAAAUAGGGACAGUCGGGGGCAUUUGUAUUCAAACGACAGAGGUGAAAUUCUUGGACCGUUUGAAGACAAACUACUGCGAAAGCAUUUGCCAAGAAUGUUUUCAUUAAUCAAGAACGAAAGUUAGAGGUUCGAAGGCGAUUAGAUACCGCCCUAGUUCUAACCAUAAACGAUGCCAGCUAGCGAUCUGCCUGCGUUUUUACUGUAGACUGGGCAGGAAGCUUCCGGGAAACCAAAGCAUUUGGGUUCCAGGGGAAGUAUGGUUGCAAAGCUGAAACUUAAAGGAAUUGACGGAAGGGCACCACCAGGAGUGGAGCCUGUGGCUUAAUUUGACUCAACACGGGAAAUCUCACCAGGCCCGGACACUGGAAGGAUUGACAGAU
RNAcentral lists this ribosomal RNA (631 nucleotides) under uncultured marine eukaryote. RNAcentral's name for it is "SSU rRNA". It matches the Rfam family "Eukaryotic small subunit ribosomal RNA", at positions 616 to 1248 of the family's 1831-position model. The record is from RNAcentral.